GGACAUGGCUCAGUUGGUAGAGCAUCACCUUGCCAAGGUGAGGGUCGCGGGUUCGAGCCCCGUUGUCCG
Molecule: transfer RNA, 69 nt
Filed under: Slackia equolifaciens
Lineage: Bacteria; Bacillati; Actinomycetota; Coriobacteriia; Eggerthellales; Eggerthellaceae
Also listed under: 1 other name
Rfam family: tRNA
About the family: Transfer RNA (tRNA) molecules are approximately 80 nucleotides in length. Their secondary structure includes four short double-helical elements and three loops (D, anti-codon, and T loops).
Source: RNAcentral